Long non-coding RNA from Armigeres subalbatus, 797 nucleotides. RefSeq lists it as uncharacterized. Lineage: Eukaryota; Metazoa; Arthropoda; Insecta; Diptera; Culicidae. The record is from RefSeq and is a predicted model, not a curated record. The transcript has 3 exons.
UACGCCAAUCAAGUAUUAUCCUCGAUUUUCAUAAGCACCAAGCGGCAUUAUCCUCGAUUUUCAUCCUGGUAUUAACUUUAAUACGCCGAUUUUGGCGUAUUAAGAUAAUCCGAGAUUUUUUAAAUGUACGCAGCCAAAACCGUACUUGCUCUCACGCACACCUGCAAAGGUAAAUAACGACAGCUGCAUGUUUACUUUUUGCGCUCUGCUUCGAAUCCAAGUUUUUCGUUCUGAUGCAAAAGUUUUAAAAUAAAAAGUAUUUUGUCGAUCCCUAAAAUAACGCUUUGUUUUGCAACGACGCUCCGAUGGAACAACUGAAGAUGUUGGAAGCAGGUUGGAAGUAGUGCUGUUGCCAACGAUCACGUUAGUUUUUGAUUCGCUAUUCGUCGGAUCGCUAAACCAUUUUAUUAAAACUUUGUGGUCUCUAGAACCGAUAUUGAACGACGUGGCGCACCGGCGCUAAGUGCUCGAGAUCAGGCGAAAAAAUUGGUUCCGGAUAAAAAGAUACCAUCGUUAUCAAUCUUAUCCUUUAUCGAUAAAAUCGGAUGGGAAAGGUGUGUCUAAUUAUGCAUCUAUUUCAAUCAAAAUUCAGGUGGCAUUAGUGGCUGGUUGUGUGCUAAUUAAUAAGAGAGUUCACAAAGUGGUCCAGGAGAUCCUUUCUUUUCAAAGAUGGGCCGGAUAUGUAUUCAAUCAUCAAAAAGUAACAACAGAACAACCUGACAAAGCCAUAUAACAAUGAUAAUAAUGUAAAUGUUCCAGAACAUGAUUUUUAAAAAUAAAUUCAAAUACAAACGAAA